GCUCUCUCUCUCAAAAUAACUAAAUGAACUUUAAAAAGGAAAAAAAAGAUUAGUCUUUUCCUUUAAGGAAACCAGUGACAGGUAGACCUGGCAUGAAGUCACGUCCAGGCACUUCCUUGGCACUCCCUGCAACUGUCACCCGCAAGGGUUCAGAAUUAGAGACAGCCAGCUAAUGUGAUCGAAUGACUUUUAUGUCCCGGCGUUACAGGAAAGAUAUUUGGACAGACCUGGAUGCCUCUGGGACACACCCAGCCGACCUGUGCUCUUCUAUAUUCACCAGACACCGAGUGUCGAAAACAAAGCUCUGUCCCUGCCCUGGAUCCCAGAGGCCGAGCUGCCAGAAUUCUCCCUUGACCUGUGACCAGGCCCACGGGCAAAGCAACAGGCCCACAACAGUGAACCGACCCGUGCCACCGCCCUUCACCCACUACGGAUUCAGAGACAAAGCUACCUCUGGAGACGCGAGCCCGACGAGGGCCCUCUCUGCACCCAAACAGGAUACUCACGUGAUUGCAUUCCUCUAUGCGGUACAGUUGAUCAGGCGUACACCUCUCCAAAACGGGUUCGAGGACAGAAUACGGGACGCCUCCCACUUCAAAGAUCGCUGCAGAGAAUCAAAGGUGGAAGUGUCGAAUAUUGGCCGGCCCCGCCAAGGCCACAACGGGGUUAAGAGCAAGAGAAAAGUGUGGGACUUACAAUCGAUGUUGUUUUUAAGUACCCGGAUGCACUGCUGGUGCAAGGUCAUCAUUUUGGGGAGAUAGGCACACUUGGAGCCAGAAUACACCUGCAUCUUGGAAUUCAUUCUCCGUCCGGUGAAUCCAGCUUCUUCCUCUUCCUGGGGUGAAGACAGUGCUGCAGGGCAAGGACAACAGGACCGCGCGUCACACAGGGCACUAAGCUGUGCAGGGAAAGCUCUCCUUCUCUCCCCCCUCCUCAGCCUCCCACUACCCUUUCCCAAAGGCCACCAGGGCUCCCGGUUUCUUGUGUGUAUUCUUCUAGCGAGUCUAUGCAAAAAUAAGUAAAUAUGUAUUUCAUUCCUUUUUCACCGAUUAAAAAACCCCCACUAUCAACUUUUUUCAUUUGCCACAUUUUAGAAAUCAUCCUAUGUCAGACACAGGCCUUCCCACAUUUUUUACAGCUGUACAGGAGGCCACUGUGUGCGUGACCACGGUUCAUGUGAUUUGUCUCUUGCUGAGGGACCCUUAUGUGGCUUCUAAUUCUUCUGCUAUUAAAACUAGACCUUUUUUUUUUUUUUUAAAGAUAAAAAGCUCACGUACAACAUAUGAAGGGUAGCUAGUAACCGCAGCAAAGAUUUACUGAACAUUCACCCUGUGGAAAAACCCAGAGUUAAGAGCUUUACCAGCAUUAUCAUUUUUAAUCCACUUAGUAAGUCAGACACCAUUAUCAGGUCCACUUAUGGAGCAUGAGACUGAAGUCCAAGGAAAUGAUUACCCAAGUUCAUAGAACGUGAAGCCAGAGCUGGGAUUCACACCCAAGCCGUCAAACUCCAGAGCCCAGGACGCUAGAAAGCUCACCCAAAUCUUAUGACAUCGUGAACAAAUUUUUAAAAUCUUUGUUCCAUUCAGAAAAGAAUGCAGAAAAUUACCUUUUCGCUUUGGUGGGAAGGAGGACAUCAAUUCCAGGGUAGGAAGCGGCCGGUAAUUGGCCUGGAUCACGGGUAACGGGAGGUCUGGCAACACGGGCAAUGCAUCAGCGGGGACCUGCGGUGAGAACACCAGUAACCGGACAGCCCGCUGGGCAAGCACAGCUCCCCGCCCUCGGCCGACUGCCAGCCGCGGUGACCAGGCAGGCGACUUCACGAGCAGACCCAGGCUGGAGGAGGGCCGUCGGUCAGGUCUGACACCACCGAGGGCAGGAGAUACACUGGGAUGGGCCCAGCACAGCGGGACACCUCCGAAAACACUCGUCUUGGGUACUAGCUACACCCUGGCAGCACCUCCAAAGGCCUGGAGGCGAUUACUUCAAACUGAAACGGCAGGCCACGAAAAAGCCAGCCAAGCACGACAGCGGCAAGUCAAGUCCUGGGAGCUGUGCGGGGCCAGAUGCUCUGACUGGGAAGCCACCAAGGGGCUGAAGGGCUUACCUUUUUCAGCUUGGCUGAAUCGGCUCCAGCUGGCUGAAGCUUCUCGGACUUGUUUUCAUUUACCUUAGGUAAUUUCUGAACGGAGUCCAAGUUUUUAUUAGUGCUUUUCGAAUCAGUUUUUUUAAGUCCUUUUUCUCCAAGAGUCGUGGCUGAGGCUUUCACAAUCUUUUUCUUUUUCUUCCGGGGCUGGUCGUAGCUGAGGUAGGACUCAAAAGACAUAGUGGGCUGCUCAAAUUCAUCAUCCAUAUCUGCCUCCUCAACCUUAGGGAGGGAGCCCACUGACUUUCUAUCUGAAUGAGAAGUUUUUACCUUCCCUUCUGAAGUUUUUAGGUUGUUGGAACCCCUCUCUUUCACCUUGGGCAGCGGGUCUCCCGCCCCCUUUCCUACAUCUAAGCUGUCUAGACUCUGCUUAUUUUUGUCCGAUUUGGUUUUCUCUGGGUCUCUGUGCUUUGGCUUGUUUUUAAGGUGGUUGUCUGAAGCAACUUCCAAGGGGGGUAAAAACUUCUUCUUGGUGCUGCCCUCUUUCUCCUUCUCUUUCUUGACACUAGAGGGUGGU
Felis catus (domestic cat) is the source of this 2660-nucleotide long non-coding RNA. RefSeq lists it as uncharacterized. The record is from RefSeq and is a predicted model, not a curated record. Lineage: Eukaryota; Metazoa; Chordata; Mammalia; Carnivora; Felidae. The transcript is spliced from 2 exons.